GCCAGUGUGGCGUAGUGGUUUGAGCAUUGGACUAUGAUUCUGGAGGCCAGGGUAUGAUUCCCUGUCCAGCCA
Non-coding RNA from Phrynosoma platyrhinos (Desert horned lizard), 72 nucleotides. The record is from the annotation of a GenBank genome assembly. NCBI's taxonomy places the organism in Eukaryota, Metazoa, Chordata, Lepidosauria, Squamata, Phrynosomatidae.